GGUUCAGGAUGAACGCUGGCGGCGUGCCUAACACAUGCAAGUCGAACGGGACUGAUUCCUUGGAGAUUCGUCAAAGAGGAUGAAAGUUAGUGGCGGACGGGUGAGUAACGCGUGGGUAACCUGCCUCAUAGAGGGGGACAACAGCUGGAAACGGCCGCUAAUACCGCAUAAGCCCACACUGCCGCAUGGCAGAGGGGGAAAAGAUUUAUCGCUAUGAGAUGGACCCGCGUUUGAUUAGCUAGUUGGCGGUGUAACGGACCACCAAGGCGGCGAUCAAUAGCCGGACUGAGAGGUUGAACGGCCACAUUGGGACUGAGACACGGCCCAAACUCCUACGGGAGGCAGCAGUGGGGAAUAUUGCACAAUGGGGGAAACCCUGAAUGCAGCGACGCCGCGUGGGUGAAGAAGUUUUUCGGAAUGUAAAGCCCUAUCAGCAGGGAAGAUAAUGACGGUACCUGACUAAGAAGCCCCGGCUAACUACGUGCCAGCCGCAGC
This 495-nucleotide ribosomal RNA is filed under the name uncultured bacterium. RNAcentral's name for it is "bacterial SSU rRNA". It matches the Rfam family "Bacterial small subunit ribosomal RNA", at positions 21 to 518 of the family's 1533-position model. The record is from RNAcentral.